RNAcentral lists this ribosomal RNA (429 nucleotides) under bacterium. Its description in RNAcentral is "partial 16S ribosomal RNA". It matches the Rfam family "Bacterial small subunit ribosomal RNA", at positions 355 to 776 of the family's 1533-position model. The record is from RNAcentral.
UAGGGAAUCUUCCACAAUGGACGCAAGUCUGAUGGAGCAACGCCGCGUGAGUGAAGAAGGCUUUCGGAUCGUAACGCUCUGUUGUUGGUGAAGAAGGAUAGAGGUAGUAACUGGCCUUUAUUUGACGGUCAUCAACCAGAAAGUCACGGCUUACUACGUGCCAGCAGCCGCGGUAAUACGUAGGUGGCAAGCGUUGUCCGGAUUUAUUGGGCGUAAAGCGAGCGCAGGCGGAAGAAUAAGCCUGAUGUGAAAGCCCUCGGCUUAACCGAGGAACUGCAUCGGAAACUGUUUUACUUGAGUGCAGAAGGGGAGGGUGGAAUUCCAUGUGUAGCGAUGGAAUGCGUGGAUAUAUGGAAGAACACCAGUGGCGAAGGCGACUCUCUGGUCUGCAACUGACGCUGAGGCACGAAAGAAUGCGUAGCGAACAGG